This 404-nucleotide ribosomal RNA is filed under the name Fusobacteriota bacterium. RNAcentral's name for it is "Fusobacteria bacterium partial 16S ribosomal RNA". It matches the Rfam family "Bacterial small subunit ribosomal RNA", at positions 355 to 776 of the family's 1533-position model. Lineage: Bacteria; Fusobacteriati; Fusobacteriota. The record is from RNAcentral.
UGGGGAAUAUUGCACAAUGGAGGGAACUCUGAUGCAGCGACGCCGCGUUAGUGAUGAAGGAAUUCGUUUCGUAAAACUCUGUUCUAUGGGAAGAAAAGGACUGUACCAUAGGAGAAAGCUCCGGCUAAAUACGUGCCAGCAGCCGCGGUAAUACGUAUGGAGCGAGCGUUGUCCGGAAUUAUUGGGCGUAAAGGGUGCGCAGGCGGCUUUACAAGUUGGAUGUGAAAUAUUGUGGCUCAACCACAAACGUGCAUCCAAAACUGCAAAGCUUGAGUUAAGGAGAGGUAAGUGGAAUUCCUGGUGUAGCGGUGGAAUGCGUAGAUAUCAGGAGGAAUACCGGUGGCGAAGGCGACUUACUGGACUUAAACUGACGCUCAGGCACGAAAGCGUGGGGAGCAAACAGG